AAUUGUAUAUGUAUAACUUGUAAAGAUCAUUUCUCACUACUCAAAUAUUGUUUCUUCACAGCUGUGGAAGCUAUGCGCUAUGCUCUCUCUCUCUCUCUCUCUCUCAGAAAUUAGAAUGAAGAGAGGUGUGCCCCUUUCUGCAGGACCUGUGGCCCUUAUCAUUCUAGUUGUGCGCUAGCUCUUCAUCAAACUUGCAGUGCCAAGGAUGCAAAUCGGCACUGUGUUCCUUCUUCCUGCGGCAAUAUCCCCAACAUUAGCUCUCCAUUUGGAUUGGAACACGAUCCUCCAAACUGCGGCAACCCAAGCAGGUCUGGUGCAUGAGCCAUCUUUUGCUGUUGUGCCAUUCACUGCAUCCUUUGGUGUAUCGGCCAGAGUAGCGUCCUUAAUACAUAUUAUCGAAAGUGGGGAAUCAGAGAAACCAUGGUUUUGUUGAACUGUGAAAAGCGAGUGAAUUCCCCAGGGUAUCUGAACACAUCUACUUGCUUUGGCAAUAGAUCGUAUGCUUCCAACUCAUCUUCAUCCCAACCUGAGGUCGGGUUUAGAUGUGUGAUAUAUAGCCAGAUGAACACAGGGGAUGUGGAGGACUUGUGCCAAGUAGAGCAUAUAUUCCAGACAUCGUGGUCAGUCCGCAAUCUGGUACUAGAAGACCCAAGUAGUAUUUCCUGCACAGACUUACACAACCUAUUGCUAUACGGUUUUGAGCUUUCUUGGAUGACCCCUACAGAUUGUGGAAAGUGCGGCAUCUUCGAGUUCAGCGAACAACGUCGCUUUUGCUGAAAAAGCCAUACGGGAAUCCUUGGAAUACCAUUUUGGGUUUACAAUGGUGAGGUAAAUUUUUAUCUCAAAAUUGAUCACAAUGAAAAGCUUGAUAUAUAUCUUUAAUUUAUGAAUAUAUCUUAUUAAUUAAUAUAUCAACA
Carya illinoinensis is the source of this 917-nucleotide long non-coding RNA. RefSeq lists it as uncharacterized. The record is from RefSeq and is a predicted model, not a curated record. NCBI's taxonomy places the organism in Eukaryota, Viridiplantae, Streptophyta, Magnoliopsida, Fagales, Juglandaceae. The transcript has 3 exons.